Molecule: ribosomal RNA, 301 nt
Filed under: uncultured bacterium
Lineage: Bacteria
Description: partial 16S ribosomal RNA
Rfam family: Bacterial small subunit ribosomal RNA
Source: RNAcentral
CAGUCGCCGCGGGAAUACGUAGGGUGCGAGCGUUAAUCGGAAUUACUGGGCGUAAAGCGUGCGCAGGCGGUUGUGUAAGACAGGUGUGAAAUCCCCGGGCUUAACCUGGGAACUGCGCUUGUGACUGCACAGCUAGAGUAUGGCAGCGGGGGGUGGAAUUCCACGUGUAGCAGUGAAAUGCGUAGAGAUGUGGAGGAACACCGAUGGCGAAGGCAGCCCCCUGGGCCAAUACUGACGCUCAUGCACGAAAGCGUGGGGAGCAAACAGGAUUAGAUACCCCGGUAGUCCCUGUCUCUUAUAC